RNAcentral lists this ribosomal RNA (253 nucleotides) under uncultured bacterium. RNAcentral describes it as "partial 16S ribosomal RNA". It matches the Rfam family "Bacterial small subunit ribosomal RNA", at positions 524 to 776 of the family's 1533-position model. The record is from RNAcentral.
UACAGAAGGUGCGAGCGUUAAUCGGAAUUACUGGGCGUAAAGGGUGCGUAGGUGGUUUUGUAAGUUAGGUGUGAAAGUCCCGGGCUUAACCUGGGGAUUGCGCCUGAUACUGCAAAGCUAGAGUACUGUAGAGGAAAGUGGAAUUUCCAGUGUAGCGGUGAAAUGCGUAGAUAUUGGAAGGAACAUCAGUGGCGAAGGCGACUUUCUGGACAGAUACUGACACUCAACUACGAAAGCGUGGGGAGCAAACAGG